UGGGUCGUUAGCUCAGUUGGUAGAGCAGUUGACUUUUAAUCAAUUGGUCGCAGGUUCGAAUCCCGCACGACCCACC
Molecule: transfer RNA, 76 nt
Filed under: Yersinia enterocolitica
Lineage: Bacteria; Pseudomonadati; Pseudomonadota; Gammaproteobacteria; Enterobacterales; Yersiniaceae
Description: tRNA-Lys
Rfam family: tRNA
About the family: Transfer RNA (tRNA) molecules are approximately 80 nucleotides in length. Their secondary structure includes four short double-helical elements and three loops (D, anti-codon, and T loops).
Source: RNAcentral